RNAcentral lists this small RNA (170 nucleotides) under Holzapfeliella floricola. Its description in RNAcentral is "Lactobacillus floricola Magnesium sequence". It matches the Rfam family "M-box riboswitch aptamer (ykoK leader)". Rfam says of the family: M-box riboswitch, also know as ykoK leader is described as a metaloregulatory RNA that sense divalent metals and function as a genetic control element of genes related to divalent metal transport in bacteria. It was first reported upstream of the B.subtilis ykoK gene and genes with related functions in other bacteria. Lineage: Bacteria; Bacillati; Bacillota; Bacilli; Lactobacillales; Lactobacillaceae. The record is from RNAcentral. RNAcentral also lists the same sequence under 1 other name.
UAACUGAACAGUUAGGUGAGGCUCCUAUAUUGGAUAUACGCUAUUGCCCAGAACAUCGACAGAUGCCAAUGGGUCAAACAGAAACAGUCGGAGUAAGGCUUUUUCCAGAUAGCUUUGUAUUUUUUUUGCAAAACGCCAUAUAGUGUUAAAACUGAGCGAGUGUUCAAUGU